RNAcentral lists this ribosomal RNA (331 nucleotides) under uncultured eukaryote. Its description in RNAcentral is "partial 18S ribosomal RNA". It matches the Rfam family "Eukaryotic small subunit ribosomal RNA", at positions 1470 to 1796 of the family's 1831-position model. The record is from RNAcentral.
CCCUUAGAUGUUCUGGGCCGCACGCGCGCUACACUGACGAAGUCAGCGAGCAUGUCCUACGCCGACAGGUGCGGGGAAUCUUGUCAAACUUCGUCGUGAUGGGGAUUGAUUUUUGAAAUUCUAGAUCAUAAACGAGGAAUUCCUAGUAAGCGCAAGUCAGCAGCUUGCGUUGAUUACGUCCCUGCCCUUUGUACACACCGCCCGUCGCUACUACCGAUUGAAUGGUUUAGUGAGAUCUUCGGAUUGGCGCCACUGCAGCUCAGCAAUGGGCUUGGUGGAUGCCGAAAAGUUGAUCAAACUUGAUCAUUUAGAGGAAGUAAAAGUCGUAACA